RNAcentral lists this ribosomal RNA (503 nucleotides) under uncultured bacterium. RNAcentral's name for it is "partial 16S ribosomal RNA". It matches the Rfam family "Bacterial small subunit ribosomal RNA", at positions 30 to 523 of the family's 1533-position model. The record is from RNAcentral.
AUUGAACGCUGGCGGCAGGCUUAACACAUGCAAGUCGAGCGGGGUGAUGGUGCUUGCACUAUCACUUAGCGGCGGACGGGUGAGUAAUGCUUAGGAAUCUGUCUAUUAGUGGGGGACAACAUCUCGAAAGGGAUGCUAAUACCGCAUACGUCCUACGGGAGAAAGCAGGGGAUCACUUGUGACCUUGCGCUAAUAGAUGAGCCUAAGUCGGAUUAGCUAGUUGGUGGGGUAAAGGCCUACCAAGGCGACGAGCUGUAGCGGGUCUGAGAGGAUGAGCCGCCACGCUGGGACUGAGACACGGCCCAGACUCCUACGGGAGGCAGCAGUGGGGAAUAUUGGACAAUGGGGGGAACCCUGAUCCAGCCAUGCCGCGUGUGUGAAGAAGGCCUUAUGGUUGUAAAGCACUUUAAGCGAGGAGGAGGCUCUUUUGGUUAAUACCCAAGAUGAGUGGACGUUACUCGCAGAAUAAGCACCGGCUAACUCUGUGCCAGCCGCCGCUGUAA